GUCUUGGAAGUGAUUAAUCAUUUUUGGUUUCGGCCCAUUAGAUAACAGGCAUAAAUUCUGUUUCAAGACU
Molecule: transfer RNA, 70 nt
Filed under: Cryptochiton stelleri (gumboot chiton)
Lineage: Eukaryota; Metazoa; Mollusca; Polyplacophora; Chitonida; Mopaliidae
Description: tRNA-Arg
Source: RNAcentral